GCAAAAGUUUGGACACCUUGCAGUUGACCGGGGGGCCCAAACUGCAUGCCAGUGAAACUCUACUUUGACAGCCGAGCACUUCAUGUUAUCUGUGGAUCAGGCCAUUGUGAAUGGCCAUAUCACUAUCUUCAACAACGCACUUAUCCUGAUGUUUGGCUCUUACUACUGCAUGAACAUUUCUUAUCCAGUAACCCAAGCAGCAACUUUGGAAUUCUUGCAACGGUAAGGUGGCACCAGUCAAUUUUAUGCAUUGAAACAUAAGAAUGAUGAGACAGUGAAAUCUAAAGUAAUGCAAUCCAAAUCAAAUCAUCAGAUCUCCUUUCAUUUGCAGCUAAAACGCAUAAGACUGAGCAAUGCUUGAGUGUUGAGAUGAUUUGUAGAUUGAUAAAUCAACAAAUAAUUAAUAUUUGAGUUUCAGAUGGCUGUCUCUGAAAUAUCCUUGAUUCAUGCUCAUGUCAAGUUAUAGAAAGAGACCUUUGAGAAGUAGGUGUUCACAGAUGUUUCACUACCCUGAAACAGUAUUUGCAAGACUCACAGGUUAACCAAACAUCUUUGCAUCACCUCUCUGUUCCACAAUGACCUGUAUGUCCAAACAUGCACUCAAAAGCAAGCUCAAUCUACACUUAGAUUCAUUGCAAAUGUAAAAAAAACAUACAGUCCAGUCCUCAGUUUCUUAAUGAAGUUGUUGUUUUUCAUUCGACAGAUGCCUUAAGAUAAACCCAAAGUGGAGCGGAACACAUCUAAGAAAAACCUUGCAGUCAAUCCAAAGGUUCUGACACUGAUCACCAAAAUUGCAGACUACGAGUGGAGAGCAUAAAAAGUUCUUAUUUUUAUCCAGAGGAUAACAUAAUCUGCUGUUCAGUAGCACUGGUGGCCCACUUGAUAUGGGAAAAGUGAAAUAUAGGCUGCAAAUCCUAUUCACAUUUAGCUAGCGUUAGUGCUAGCCAGUUAGUAUGUUACUGUCUGCUGACAGGCUUCUCUGUCACUCUGUCCUGCGAUAGGUGUAGCAUUGUCUUAAGUAUUAUCUUCAUCUCAGUUCAUUGUAAUAGACUGACUUAACUUGUCAGUUAAGUAUAAUCAGCAUAACAAUGAGGCUUUUGUUUUACUCUAGUUGUUCUUUGCAUAUAAUUACAUUGCAAAUUUCUCCAAGGGAACGCAAAUGGCCAGCAGCAGCCCUAAAUGUGAGACUUUCAGAAAGCUAGAGCUACUUCUAAACCUGCAGGUUAUGUGCCUCAAAUAUUCCCCUUUUCGUUGUUCCAGAUGUGGUGAGGCAGAUGAACAUUUGAGGUGGCAGUGUCCCCUUCUUUUGUGCUCAAAUGUGCGUUUGAAUUGGAUUUUUUUUUUCUAUGUGCCUUUGUUCAUGCAUAAGUGUUAGUUGUUCUUGGAUUGUUCCAGGAAGGGUUAUCUUUUUGUCAAUAAAAUCCAUGUUAAUGAUUGAAA
Molecule: long non-coding RNA, 1440 nt
Organism: Oreochromis niloticus (Nile tilapia)
Lineage: Eukaryota; Metazoa; Chordata; Actinopteri; Cichliformes; Cichlidae
Exons: 2
Source: RefSeq, a predicted model, not a curated record